CCUACGGGAGGCAGCAGUAGGGAAUAUUGCGCAAUGGGGGAAACCCUGACGCAGCAACGCCGCGUGAGUGAGGAAGGUCUUCGGAUUGUAAAACUCUGUUCUUAGAGAAAAAUGAUUCAGGAGCUAAUAUCUCUUGGAAGUGAUGGUAUCUAAGGAGAAAGGACCGGCUAACUUCGUGCCAGCAGCCGCGGUAAU
This 195-nucleotide ribosomal RNA is filed under the name uncultured bacterium. RNAcentral's name for it is "partial 16S ribosomal RNA". It matches the Rfam family "Bacterial small subunit ribosomal RNA", at positions 338 to 524 of the family's 1533-position model. The record is from RNAcentral.